CUUUCCCUAGUCGCCUUUUGCCAACAUUAGGUCUCCAAUCCCUAAGUUGAGCUUUUUAGACAUAGGGCCUCCAUUCACUAGUCGCCUUUUGCCAAUAUUAGGGCUCUGAUCCCUGAGUUGAGCUUUUUAGACAUAGGGCCUCCAUUCCCUAGUCGCCUUUUGCCAACAUUAGGGUUCCAAACCCUGAGUUGAGCUUUUUAGACAUAGGGCCUCCAUUCCCUAGUCGCCUUUUUGCCAACAUUAGGGCUCCAAUCCCUGAGUUGAGCUUUUUAGACAUAGGGCCUCCAUUCCCU
RNAcentral lists this long non-coding RNA (293 nucleotides) under Nicotiana tabacum (common tobacco). RNAcentral describes it as "long non-coding RNA (NTAB_LNC010305)". Lineage: Eukaryota; Viridiplantae; Streptophyta; Magnoliopsida; Solanales; Solanaceae. The record is from RNAcentral.